CUGAAUGUAGCUGUGCUCGGUGAGAUUCAAGUCAGUAGCCUGGAGGUGGGCAUUGGUGAUGUUGAUGGUACAACCAGUCCGAAGAUUACCACAAUUACACACCCCAACAAGCUGACAGAGGUGCUCCAAGCUGAUCACUUGCAGAAAGUAAGCCUGAAGUUCAGCGUGCGCGAUAAGUACAACAACCCGGUGUCAGUGCAGCAGGCCUUCGUGCGCGUCGCCCCCGCCGCCGCCGCGGCACCAGCAGACCUGGAGGCUAUCUACGUAGCUGAGCCCAGCGCUAAGACCUACAAGGUCGAGCUGAACGUGGGCGCGAUCGCAAAGCAUCUGAACCAUCAAUCGGGCGCGCACUCGCUGACGC
Long non-coding RNA from Papilio polytes (common Mormon), 361 nucleotides. RefSeq lists it as uncharacterized. The record is from RefSeq and is a predicted model, not a curated record. The transcript has 3 exons. NCBI's taxonomy places the organism in Eukaryota, Metazoa, Arthropoda, Insecta, Lepidoptera, Papilionidae.